GGUUCAUUCAAAUUUCUGCCCUAUCAACUUUCGAUGGUAGAGUAGUGGUCUACCAUGGUUUCAACGGGUAACGGGGAAUUAGGGUUCUAUUCCGGAGAGGGAGCCUGAGAAACGGCUACCACAUCCAAGGAAGGCAGCAGGCGCGCAAAUUACCCAAUCCCGACCGGGGAGGUAGUGACAAUAAAUACUGAUACAGGGCUCUUUUGGGUCUUGUAAUUGGAAUGAGUACAAUUUAAAUCCCUUAACGAGGAACAAUUGGAGGGCAAGUCUGGUGCCAGCAGCCGCGGUAAUUCCAGCUCCAAUAGCGUAUAUUAAAGUUGUUGCAGUUAAAAAGCUCGUAGUUG
This 344-nucleotide ribosomal RNA is filed under the name uncultured fungus. Its description in RNAcentral is "SSU rRNA". It matches the Rfam family "Eukaryotic small subunit ribosomal RNA", at positions 292 to 636 of the family's 1831-position model. The record is from RNAcentral. Lineage: Eukaryota; Fungi.